CCCAACUAUCCCUAUUAAUCAUUACGACUGUCCCGGAAACCAACAAAAUAGAACCGUCGUCCUAUUUCAUUAUUCCAUGCUAAUGUAUUCAAGCGUACGAGCCCGCUUUGAGCACUCUAAUUUUUUCAAGGUAAAGGUCCUGGUUCCCGCGGACACCAAGUGAAUGGCAUCCACGCUCGCCAGAAGGUAGGACCCGACCACAGACAGUUCUCACCCAGAGGGCGGACCGUCCAGCCAGGCCUGAAAUUCAACUACGAGCUUUUUAACUGCAACAACUUUAAUAUACGCUAUUGGAGCUGGAAUUACCGCGGCUGCUGGCACCAGACUUGCCCUCCAA
RNAcentral lists this unclassified non-coding RNA (337 nucleotides) under uncultured Paraglomeraceae. RNAcentral's name for it is "sequence contains 18S rRNA gene". The record is from RNAcentral. Lineage: Eukaryota; Fungi; Glomeromycota; Glomeromycetes; Paraglomerales.